GACGAACGCUGGCGGCGUGCUUAACACAUGCAAGUCGAACGGAAAGGCCCUGCUUUUGUGGGGUGCUCGAGUGGCGAACGGGUGAGUAACACGUGAGUAACCUGCCCUUGACUUUGGUAUAACUUCAGGAAACUGGGGCUAAUACCGGAUAGGAGCUCCUGCUGCAUGGUGGGGGUUGGAAAGUUUCGGCGGUUGGAGAUGGACUCGCGGCUUAUCAGCUUGUUGGUGGGGUAGUGGCUUACCAAGGCUUUGACGGGUAGCCGGCCUGAGAGGGUGACCGGCCACAUUGGGACUGAGAUACGGCCCAGACUCCUACGGGAGGCAGCAGUGGGGAAUAUUGCACAAUGGGCGGAAGCCUGAUGCAGCAACGCCGCGUGCGGGAUGACGGCCUUCGGGUUGUAAACCGCUUUCGCCUGGGACGAAGCGUGAGUGACGGUAAUGGGUAAAGAAGCACCGGCUAACUACGUG
RNAcentral lists this ribosomal RNA (468 nucleotides) under uncultured bacterium. Its description in RNAcentral is "partial 16S ribosomal RNA". It matches the Rfam family "Bacterial small subunit ribosomal RNA", at positions 28 to 507 of the family's 1533-position model. The record is from RNAcentral.